Molecule: long non-coding RNA, 3639 nt
Filed under: Mytilus galloprovincialis (Mediterranean mussel)
Lineage: Eukaryota; Metazoa; Mollusca; Bivalvia; Mytilida; Mytilidae
Source: RNAcentral
AACUGUACAUGAUUUUUAUAAUAAUUUCAUAGAUGAAAUGAGCAAACAUAACACUAUUAAUAACAAGCAAUAAACUAACAAAAGGUUAAAAUUUAGGACAACCUACAAUACAACUAGUAACCUAAUUUUUACAGUUAAUAUGGUUAACAUAUAUAAACUUGAUAUUUUGGAAUGGAUUACAGAUUAUAUAUGAUGCAACCCAUUGGAUUUACAUACAACAAAUAUUCAAUGCCUUUUAUAUUGACAUUGUUCUAAAUGACCUUUAAAAUGAAGGUCAAGUUGAGGUAACUAAAAGCAUCUUUUAUGUAAAUUUGUAAAAAAAAAAUUACCCAUUAGAAAUGCCGUUUGUAAAACAUAAGAUACUUGUGAAUACUCUAACCCUAUGAUUUCUGGAAUGUUGAUGGAACUUGUCCAUCAUUAGUAUAAAUCAUAUUAGGAAAAUGCUUUUAUAUAAAAUUUGCAAAAUACAAGAUUAUUAUCAACAACAAUUAAUUAAAAGUUAUGAUUUUCUUUAAACUAUCAGUUGUACAAAAAAGUUAAUUUCAUGGUUCAUCUUAGACAAGUUCUGAAGUUUUCUUUUAUAAAUCACAGAUAUCAAACUGAUAGUAACAUUUUGAAAUAUCCAAACAUUUUAAAAUCAAAAGAAGAGUUACUUCCCCCUGAGCUUGAUAUUCAUAAAACACAACCAAUUUGUGGCAAAAUUUCAAAAACUUGUAAAAUGAUAAACAUAUAUAAAUCCUAUUUUACUUGUAUAAAGUUUUUGUUACAAAAAAAAUAUUACAAAUAAAAAAAUGCAGGAAUAAGAAGAAAAUUGUUGUUUAUUUGUUAAGUUCUGGGUGGAUGGAUGAAGAUAUUUUUUUCAAAAAAAAUGUAUAUUCAUCAAGAAAUACACAUUGAAUAGCAAUACUAUUUCCUCUAAAAUACUGACUCAGGGUAACUAUGAGUAUGACUAUCACUCUAAGCAUACUGUAGACAAUUAAACUGAUGUAAAAAUAUGUAUAUUUUAGUAAUAAAUUCCUAAGUAGAUAAGUUAUUUCAGAAUCAGACAACCUCAUAUGUUGUUUUCAACAUUUCAUUAGUAAAAAAAAAGUCGAAAUAUGAUGCCUUUAAAAGUAUUAACACUGCUUUAAGCUAUAACUGAUGCAUGAAACAAUCAAACAUUUAAUGAAAUGAACAAAUUAUGGAAUGAUAAAAUAUUUGAAAUGUUUACAACAAAAUCUAUCACAAUUCUAUCACAACCACAAGUAAUAUAUACUGACAUGUUUCCAAGGCAACACAUUUGUUGAUAUAUAAUAAAAUAGCACAUUUGCCCUGCUUGAAUAUACUGAUUAUAUCAUGAGUAUAAGGAUGCUUAAAAUCUGAUUUCUAUCUGUAUAAAUGGGCGAGAGACAAAUAUCUCCUGCAGGAUGAGACAAAAUAUUCAAUAAAUGGUUCUUGAGAGAGGGGCGACCCCAGGAUGCAAAGCUGAAUAUUUUUAAAAGAGAGUAAACAGAGUAAUUUUGAGUAGGUUCACAAAUUUUACCAUGAAAAGGUUACCUACAGAUCCCUUAAUAAAUUGUUUAUGUGAAACAAUCUUAACAUUUUCAAAACAGAAUUCAUCUAAAGUGUAUAUAAUAUUUGUUUGAUUCAACCACACUUGCUUUAAAGGUCACUUCUAUUAGGCUAAACCUGUCUUGUCAGGUCCCCCUUUUUUGAAUUUCCAAUACCUAUGAAUUUUGAACCAUAAUUCAAACGUCACCUGUCACAAAAGGUCAAUUUCUCUAGUCCUGACAGCAACCCUUCAAACAGGUUCCACUGAAUCUAAAUGCAUUACAUCGGAUUACACUUAGAUACAGCUCGACUUAUAUAGACAUGACAUUGUGUUUAACCUCAAAUAUGUUUGAUUUCAAAUAAGCCUAUUAUAAUUCCCCAGGAACUAUACUAUAACAAUAUAACUGUGGAUAUAUAAGAUCACUGUAUAUAAGACUGUAAGAUAUACAAGAUAAUUGUACAAGGUCACUGUACAAAAAUAAAAAACUUUUAUUAUACAAAUAUUUUCUAUGUACAAUUGUUAAGAAAUACUAAACUGUAAUACUGAUUUAUCAGUAGAAAGAACACUGGCAAUAUAUCACUUAGAGCAGUGUGUUAAUAUAUGGCAUGAAAAAAAAUCUGAUCCCUCUUUUUAUUACUUAGCAUCAGUUUGGAAUGAGAAGGAUUAGUUCAUAGUGUGAAAAACAGUCAACUAUUUACUUUCUUGAUAAAAAAAAAUGUUCCAUUUCACCAAUUUCAACCUAUCCUAACAUUUUGUAUCCCUCUUGUUUUUCCUAAUCUACUUUGACAUGCACAACCUAUAAUUUUUACUAUUCUUACAAAAAUUAUCUGUUAAAAUGUUUUGAUUUAUUGAUAUCAAAUUGAUUGUUAUUUCUAAUAUAUCUUUCAUACAGUUUCCCGUUCAUUUAUUUCUAUAUAUUUUAUAUAAAAAUCUUCGGAAAUUGUUUCCCUGUUUCUACAUGUUUUAUGUACUUCUUGUUUUAAAAAAGUUUACAAAGAAGAAAAUUAUACUCAAAACAAAAAAAUCACAAAAAUCACAAUAAAAUCUAUAUAGAUGAUUAUUUUUUACAAUGUAAGAAAAUUUAACCCUGCUUUGUAAGACUUAUUCUACUUACAUAAAUCAAUUUUUGAAUACAUUAUUUAUAACUUUAUCUAACUUAAUAAAACCAGAUCUUAGCUCCCUGUGGUAUGCUUAUAUAUAAAAUAUUAUGUCCAAAAUGUAAAACUGAGUAUGUUACUUAAAUGAACACUUAUGAAUAAAAACUAUUCAUCAUACACAAUGGAAUGGCAUAAAAAGCACAUAAAAAGCACAUGUAAAGCACAUAUAGAUAUACAUAAAUUAUUAAUUAACAAGGAAUGUCAAAAAGUGAUGUAUUAAUUAGAUUUUUAUAAAUCGUAAUUGCAUAUCAAUUGCAAAGAUGUAUAAUAUAUAAGUUUUAGUACAUAUAACAAUAAAUGUACUGACUAAAAACAUUGAGAUGGUUCCAUCUUUUAUAAAUGACUAAUAAGAAAUUUGUAUGUAUGUAUAUCAUACAGAUCUACUGUAAUUAGAACUCAAGUGCUUAUGAUUAAAUUUUAACAGACCGAUUCUGAUAACAGACACGAUUCAAAAUGAAAUUUAAAAUUAAACAAGAGUGCACACACUGAAAUGUCUCGCCUUCUAAACUAAUCAUUGAUAUUAUGUUGAUAGUCCUAAGUAUAAAGCUAAGCUUUAUUACAACUGUCACAUAAACUUGACAUUAACCAAGAUAACUAAACAAAGACCAAUGAACCUUGAAAAUGAGGUCAAGGUCAGAUGAACCAUGCCAGGAAGACAUGUACAGCUAACAAUGCUUCUAUACAACAUAUUAUAUAGUCGACCCAUUACUUAUAGUUUAAGAAAAAUAGACCAAAACGCAAAAACUUAACACUGUGUAAUGAACCAUGAAAAUGAGGUCACGGUCAAAUAAAACCUGCGGGACUGACAUGAAGAUCAUAAAAUAUUUCCAUACACCAAAUAUAGUUGACCUAUGGCAUAUAGUAUUAGAUAAAAAGACCAAACUCAAAAACUUAACUUUGACCACUGAACCAUGAAAAUGAGGUCAAGGUCACAUGACAUCUGCCCGCUAG